GACGAACGCUGGCGGCGUGCCUAAUACAUGCAAGUCGAGCGGACGAAUCGAAAGCUUGCUUUUGAUUCGUUAGCGGCGGACGGGUGAGUAACACGUGGGCAACCUGCCCUGUAGACGGGGAUAACACCGAGAAAUCGGUGCUAAUACCGGAUAACACGAAAUGUCGCAUGACGUUUCGUUGAAAGACGGCGCAAGCUGUCGCUACAGGAUGUGCCCGCGGCGUAUUAGCUAGUUGGUGAGGUAACGGCUCACCAAGGCGACGAUGCGUAGCCGACCUGAGAGGGUGAUCGGCCACACUGGGACUGAGACACGGCCCAGACUCCUACGGGAGGCAGCAGUAAGGAAUCUUCCGCAAUGGACGAAAGUCUGACGGAGCAACGCCGCGUGAGCGAAGAAGGCCUUCGGGUCGUAAAGCUCUGUUGUUAGGGAAGAACAAGUAACGCAGUAACUGGCGUUACCGUGACGGUACCUAACGAGAAAGCCACGGCUAACUACGUG
This 498-nucleotide ribosomal RNA is filed under the name uncultured bacterium. RNAcentral's name for it is "partial 16S ribosomal RNA". It matches the Rfam family "Bacterial small subunit ribosomal RNA", at positions 28 to 507 of the family's 1533-position model. The record is from RNAcentral.